Molecule: ribosomal RNA, 502 nt
Filed under: uncultured Glomeromycotina
Lineage: Eukaryota; Fungi; Glomeromycota
Description: partial small subunit ribosomal RNA
Rfam family: Eukaryotic small subunit ribosomal RNA
Source: RNAcentral
CCAAUAGCGUAUAUUAAAGUUGUUGCAGUUAAAAAGCUCGUAGUUGAACUUCGGGGUCUACCCAUUGGUCAGGCUUAAUUGUCUGCACUGGUGAGAUGGAUCUCUACCUUCUGAGGAACUUUCAUGCCAUUUAUUUGGUGUGAUUGGAAAUCAGGACUGUUACUUUGAAAAAAUUAGAGUGUUUAAAGCAGACUAUCGUCUGAAUACAUUAGCAUGGAAUAAUGAAAUAGGACGGACUGAUUCUAUUUCGUUGGUUUCUAGGAUCACCGUAAUGAUUAAUAGUGAUAGUUGGGCGCAUUAGUAUUCAAGUGUCAGAGGUGAAAUUCUUGGAUUUAUUGAAGACUAACUACUGCGAAAGAAUUUGCCAAGGAUGUUUUCAUUAAUCAAGAACGAAAGUUAGGGGAUCGAAGACGAUCAGAUACCGUCGUAGUCUUAACCAUAAACUAUGCCGACUAGGGAUCGGACGAAGUUAAUUUUAUAAUGACGCGUUCGGCACCUUACG